CAGUCGCCGCGGGAAUACAGAGGGUGCAAGCGUUAAUCGGAAUUACUGGGCGUAAAGCGCGCGUAGGUGGUUUGUUAAGUUGGAUGUGAAAUCCCCGGGCUCAACCUGGGAACUGCAUCCAAAACUGGCAAGCUAGAGUAUGGUAGAGGGUGGUGGAAUUUCCUGUGUAGCGGUGAAAUGCGUAGAUAUAGGAAGGAACACCAGUGGCGAAGGCGACCACCUGGACUGAUACUGACACUGAGGUGCGAAAGCGUGGGGAGCAAACAGGAUUAGAUACCCCCGUAGUCCCUGUCUUUUAUAC
This 301-nucleotide ribosomal RNA is filed under the name uncultured bacterium. RNAcentral describes it as "partial 16S ribosomal RNA". It matches the Rfam family "Bacterial small subunit ribosomal RNA", at positions 509 to 809 of the family's 1533-position model. The record is from RNAcentral.